UACGUAGGGUGCGAGCGUUGCCCGGAUUUAUUGGGCGUAAAGGGCGCGCAGGCGGCCACGCACGUCCGUUGUGAAAUCGCUCGGCUCAACUGGGCGGGGUCAGCGGAUACGGAGUGGCUGGAGCAAGCUAGGGGGCAAUGGAAUUCCCGGUGUAGUGGUGGAAUGCGUAGAUAUCGGGAGGAACACCAGUGGCGAAGGCGGUUGCCUGGAGCUUUGCUGACGCUGAUGCGCGAAAGCGUGGGGAGCGAUCCGG
RNAcentral lists this ribosomal RNA (253 nucleotides) under uncultured bacterium. Its description in RNAcentral is "partial 16S ribosomal RNA". It matches the Rfam family "Bacterial small subunit ribosomal RNA", at positions 524 to 776 of the family's 1533-position model. The record is from RNAcentral.